CCUACGGGAGGCAGCAGUGGGGGAUAUUGCACAAUGGGGGGAACCCUGAUGCAGCGACGCCGCGUGGGUGAAGAAGCGCCUCGGCGCGUAAAGCCCUGUCUGUAGGGAAGAAAAUGACGGUACCUGAAGAAGAAGCCCCGGCGAACUACGUGCCAGCAGCCGCGGUAAAACGUAGGGGGCAAGCGUUAUCCGGAUUUACUGGGUGUAAAGGGGGCGCAGACGGCGUUGCAAGCCAGGAGUGAAAGGCCGGGGACCAACCCCGGGACUUCUAUUGGAACUGGGUGGCUGGAGUGCAGGAGGGGCAGGCGGAAUUCCUGGUGUAGCGGUGAAAUGCGUAGAUAUCAGGAGGAACACCGGUGGCGAAGGCGGCCUGCUGAACUGCAACUGACGUUGAGGCCCGAAAGCGUGGGGAGCAAACAGGAUUAGAUACCCUUGUAGUC
This 440-nucleotide ribosomal RNA is filed under the name uncultured bacterium. Its description in RNAcentral is "partial 16S ribosomal RNA". It matches the Rfam family "Bacterial small subunit ribosomal RNA", at positions 338 to 795 of the family's 1533-position model. The record is from RNAcentral.